This 460-nucleotide ribosomal RNA is filed under the name uncultured bacterium. RNAcentral describes it as "partial 16S ribosomal RNA". It matches the Rfam family "Bacterial small subunit ribosomal RNA", at positions 338 to 795 of the family's 1533-position model. The record is from RNAcentral.
CCUACGGGAGGCUGCAGUGAGGAAUAUUGGUCAAUGGCCGGAAGGCUGAACCAGCCAUGCCGCGUGAAGGUCAGUGCCCUUUGGGCGUUAAACUUCUUUUGUGCGGGAGCAAUAAUGGUCACGUGUGGCCAGACGAGAGUACCGUACGAAUAAGCAUCAGCUAACUCCGUGCAAGCAGCCGCGGUAAUACGGGGGAUGCAAGCGUUAUCCGGAUUUAUUGGGUUGAAAGGGUGCGUAGGCUGGGAGGUAAGUCAGCGGUGAAAUGCCGCCGGUCAACGGGGUGAAGUGCCAUUGAUACUGCCUUGCUGGAAUGCGGAUGCGGUGGGAGGAAUGUGCGGUGUAGCGGUGAAAUGCAUAGAUAUCACACAGAACACCGAUUGCGAAGGCAUCUCACGAAUCCGCGAUUGACGCUGAUGCACGAAAGCGUGGGUAGCAAACAGGAUUAGAUACCCCAGUAGUC